RNAcentral lists this ribosomal RNA (460 nucleotides) under uncultured bacterium. Its description in RNAcentral is "partial 16S ribosomal RNA". It matches the Rfam family "Bacterial small subunit ribosomal RNA", at positions 338 to 795 of the family's 1533-position model. The record is from RNAcentral.
CCUACGGGAGGCAGCAGUGAGGAAUAUUGGUCAAUGGACGAGAGUCUGAACCAGCCAAGUAGCGUGAAGGAUGAAUGCCCUAUGGGUUGUAAACUUCUUUUAUAUGGGAAUAAAAUGUUCCACGUGUGGGUUUUUGUAUGUACCCUAUGAAUAAGGAUCGGCUAACUCCGUGCCAGCAGCCGCGGUAAUACGGAGGAUCCGAGCGUUAUCCGGAUUUAUUGGGUUUAAAGGGAGCGUAGGUGGAUUGUUAAGUCAGUUGUGAAAGUUUGCGGCUCAACCGUAAAAUUGCAGUUGAAACUGGCAGUCUUGAGUGCAGUAGAGGUAGGCGGAAUUCGUGGUGUAGCGGUGAAAUGCUUAGAUAUCACGAAGAACUCCGAUUGCGAAGGCAGCUCACUAGACUGCAACUGACACUGAGGCUCGAAAGUGUGGGUAUCAAACAGGAUUAGAUACCCUUGUAGUC